GAUGAAGAACGCAGUGAAAUGCGAUACUUGGUGUGAAUUGCAGAAUCCCGUGAACCAUCGAGUCUUUGAACGCAAGUUGCGCCCGAAGCCACUAGGCCGAGGGCACGCCUGCCUGGGCGUCACACGCCGUUGCCCCCCCAUCUACUCCUUCGGGAUUGCGGGGGGGCGGAUGAUGGCCUCCUGUGCGCCUAGCCGCGCGGUUGGCAUAAAUACCAAGUCCUCGGCGACGCACGCCACGACAAUCGGUGGUUGCGAAACCUCGGUUGCCCGUCGUGUGCGUUCGUCGCGCAUCGAGGGCUCGAAAAAAUGCUCGGCUCCGGCUGGGCUUUCAACGCGACCCCAGGUCAGGCGGGGUUACCCGCUGAAUUUAAGCAUAUCAAUAAGCGGAAGA
RNAcentral lists this unclassified non-coding RNA (391 nucleotides) under soil metagenome. RNAcentral's name for it is "partial contains 5.8S ribosomal RNA, internal transcribed spacer 2, and large subunit ribosomal RNA". The stretch from base 1 to 122 matches the Rfam family "5.8S ribosomal RNA", at positions 35 to 154 of the family's 154-position model. The record is from RNAcentral.